This 253-nucleotide ribosomal RNA is filed under the name uncultured bacterium. RNAcentral's name for it is "partial 16S ribosomal RNA". It matches the Rfam family "Bacterial small subunit ribosomal RNA", at positions 524 to 776 of the family's 1533-position model. The record is from RNAcentral.
UACGGGGGGGGCAAGCGUUGUUCGGAAUUACUGGGCGUAAAGGGCUCGUAGGCGGCCAACUAAGUCAGACGUGAAAUCCCCAGGCUCAACCUGGGAACUGCGUCUGAUACUGGAUGGCUUGAAUUCGGGAGAGGGAUGCAGAAUUCCAGGUGUAGCGGUGAAAUGCGUAGAUAUCUGGAGGAAUACCGGUGGCGAAGGCGGCAUCCUGGACCGACAUUGACGCUGAGGAGCGAAAGCGAGGGGAGCAAACGGG